AUGGACGCCGAGCUUGAGGUUCUUGGAGAAAGCCUCAUAGAACUUGUUGUAGUCCUCCUUGUUCUCAGCAAUCUCAAAGAAGAGCUCGAUGCACUUCUUCACAAGGUUCUUCCUGAUGACCUUGAGGAUCUUGUUCUGCUGGAGUGUCUCACGAGAGAUGUUGAGGGGAAGAUCCUCAGAGUCAACAAUGCCCUUGACAAAGCUCAGCCACUCUGGGAUCAGCUCCUCACAGUUGUCCAUGAUGAAGACACGGCGCACAUAGAGCUUAAUGUUGUUGAGCUUCUUCCUGGUGUCAAAGAGGUCAAAGGGGGCCCUCUUGGGAACGAAGAGGACGGCCUUGAACUCAAGCUGACCCUCCACCGAGAAGUGCUUGACGGCAAGGUGCUCCUCCCAGUCGUUUGUCAGGCUCUUGUAGAAGGCAGCAUACUCAUCCUUGGUGAUCUCCUCAGGCUUCCUCAUCCAGAUGGGCUUCUGCUUGUUGAUCAGGUUCCACUCGUGAGAAACCUCCUUGAUCUUCUUCUUUUUCUUCUCCUUUUCUUCCUUCUCUUCAUCAAUUUCCUCAACCUUGCCCUCCUCAGUAUCCUUCUUCUCAUCCUCAUCUUCAUCGUCAGAAAUUUCCUUCUCAGUGGUCUUCUCCGUCCAGAGAGAGAUGGGAUAGCUGAUGAACUCAGAGUGCUUCUUCACCAGAUCCUUGAGGCGACGCUCCUCAAGAAGGUGUUGAUGAUGAGCGAGAGCAGCUGGUUGAUCUCGGCCUGGAAGGCGAAGGUCUCGGUCUCCGAAGCCAUGGCGCCGCCGGCACCGGAAGCUCCUGGAACGCGCGCGCUGGGGUUGGGAGGAGAGGAGAUGGCUUAG
RNAcentral lists this ribosomal RNA (852 nucleotides) under Triticum aestivum (bread wheat). RNAcentral's name for it is "partial small subunit ribosomal RNA". The record is from RNAcentral. Lineage: Eukaryota; Viridiplantae; Streptophyta; Magnoliopsida; Poales; Poaceae.